Molecule: long non-coding RNA, 551 nt
Organism: Diorhabda sublineata
Lineage: Eukaryota; Metazoa; Arthropoda; Insecta; Coleoptera; Chrysomelidae
Exons: 3
Source: RefSeq, a predicted model, not a curated record
UCGAGAAACAACCAAGAUUAUUGAAUGAACAACGUCCAUCUUGCAAAGGUGUUUGAUAUUGUUUGUUUAUUAGCUAUUUGCAUUUUUGUCCAUUCAAAAGUUAUUAUUUGUUGCGAAUUGUGCUGUCGUGUUUACUUAGCCCAUAUGAGUAAACGAGUAAAGGCCUGCUGUGUACCAGGAUGCACGAAUAAGCAAGCGAUAAGACAUUCCAUUCCUACGAAUGAAGACGUUUGCAGAAUUUGGUUGCAAAGAAUAAAUAACCCCAAGUUAUACAGCAGAUAUAGUAUUAUCAUAACAUAGAAUAUGUAAUAUUCAUUUUGAACCAAUUUGUAGAAACCCCAAUGGCAGGUUAAAAAAAGUUUCACUGCUAACUCUACCUUUACACCUGGGCAAAGAUCAACAAUGUAAAGACUAUGAUGUGAUGAAUAUGGUAUAUGUUAAAUAUAAGAAAAGCUGCAAGAUAGACAACGGUAAUCAUUAAUUAUACAUGGUUAUAAAAUAAGUUUUUUAUAUACCAUUGGAUGUACCAUGUACAAACAGAAACAUUUUUC